This 373-nucleotide ribosomal RNA is filed under the name uncultured eukaryote. RNAcentral's name for it is "partial 18S ribosomal RNA". It matches the Rfam family "Eukaryotic small subunit ribosomal RNA", at positions 592 to 976 of the family's 1831-position model. The record is from RNAcentral.
CAAGAGCGUAUGUAAAAGUUGUUGCAGUUAAAAAGCUCGUAGUUGAACCUUGGGUUUGGUUGGCCGGUCCGCUUUUUUGCGAGUACUGGAUUCAACCGAGCCUUUCCUUCUGGCUAACCAGUCGUUUCGGCGGCUGGCGAACCAGGAUUUUUACUUUGAGAAAAUUAGAGUGUUCAAAGCAGGCAUUAGCUUGAAUAUAUUAGCAUGGAAUAAUAGAAUAGGACGUUAUGGUUCUAUUUUGUUGGUUUCUAGGACCAUCGUAAUGAUUAAUAGGGACGGUCGGGGGCAUCAGUAUUCAGUUGUCAGAGGUGAAAUUCUUGGAUUACUGAAGACUAACUACUGCGAAAGCAUUUGCCAAGGACGUUUUCAUUAA